Molecule: long non-coding RNA, 1076 nt
Organism: Coffea arabica (coffee)
Lineage: Eukaryota; Viridiplantae; Streptophyta; Magnoliopsida; Gentianales; Rubiaceae
Source: RefSeq, a predicted model, not a curated record
GGGGACCGGAACAAAAAAAGGGGAGGAGAAGAACAAAACAGAGGAGCGGCGGUCUGAGAGCAAGAAAAAAAAACAAAAAAACAGAGCAAAAAGGGAAAAUGGAGGGGGUUUCGUCGGAGAGCAAAAGAAACGAAAAGAAGGGAGCAAAAGAAACGAAAAGCUGGAAAAUUGAAAGAAGGUUCGGCAGUAGAAAAAUCAGAGGGGAAAGAAGAAAAAGAGACGAGGGUGGCGGCUAGAAUCUUGGGAGGAUUGCGGAAAAGAACACAGAAAAAGGAAGAGAAAAGAAGGCUCCACAGGUGGCGGGUUGAGCAAAUUGGAGGGCAGAAGAAAGCAAGGGGCGGCUGAGAUUUUGGGGUUGAAAAAUAGGUUUGAGGGCCGAGAGAAAGGGAGCUUCGGUCAAGGAGAGAACGAGAAACAGAGGCUCGGGGGUGGAAAGAAAAGAAAAUAGCAACGGAAAAGGAGAGGUUCGAAUGGCCGAGAGUAGGAAAGAGUGAGAGGGAAAAGCAAAAAGGGGGGACUUCGAGUAAAGCAGAAAAACAGAGAGGGAGUCUUCGGCAAGAACAGAGGAAAAAUCUGAAAAUUGGGGAAGUUCCUCGGGUAGAGAGAAAUGAGCGAGAGAGAGUGAAAACAGGAAAGAAAUGGCAACGGAUGAAGAGGUCCUGGGCUGAGGGAAGGAGGUUUUUUUUUUGGGCAAAACAAAAAGAGAAAGUCAGAGAGAGACGGACGAAGAGGGAGAAAGGAAAUCUGGAAAAUGGAAGGGAGCUUCUGUGAGAGCAAAACGGAGGCGAGGAAAAGCUAAGAGAGGCGGACGGGCAAGGAAAAACUGGAGAAAGGAAUACCGCCGCCGCUCAUAGCCGCCGCCACUUCACCGACCCGCCAUCAUCACCGGCCAAUUUUCAUCGAACAAGAGCACGGGGUGGAGCUCGGAGCAAGUAGGCGUGAACUAGUGUAUAUAAUCUCUUGUACUUGUACUUUUGUAGAUAAGAUGUAUUUGGAAUCUUUAAAAUGUAAUCCUAUGUUUUACUUUUGGAUUGUAAAUUAAGUUUGAAUUGUUGGUUGGAAAUGGAACUUUUAUG